UUUAGAUGGUUACUGUGGGAAUAC
This 24-nucleotide non-coding RNA is filed under the name Cricetulus griseus (Chinese hamster). The record is from RNAcentral. Lineage: Eukaryota; Metazoa; Chordata; Mammalia; Rodentia; Cricetidae.